GUGGGGAAUUUUGCGCAAUGGGGGAAACCCUGACGCAGCAACGCCGCGUGGAGGAUGAAAUCCCUUGGGAUGUAAACUCCUUUCGAUCGGGACGAUAAUGACGGUACCGGAAGAAGAAGCCCCGGCUAACUUCGUGCCAGCAGCCGCGGUAAUACGAGGGGGGCAAGCGUUGUUCGGAAUUAUUGGGCGUAAAGGGUGCGUAGGCGGUUUGAUAAGUCAUCUGUGAAAUCUCUGGGCUCAACCCAGAGUCUGCAGGCGAAACUGUCGGGCUUGAGAGUGGGAGAGGUGAGUGGAAUUUCCGGUGUAGCGGUGAAAUGCGUAGAUAUCGGAAGGAACACCUGUGGCGAAAGCGGCUCACUGGACCAUUUCUGACGCUGAUGCACGAAAGCUAGGGGAGCAAACAGGAUUAGAAACCCCUGUAGUCC
RNAcentral lists this ribosomal RNA (425 nucleotides) under uncultured bacterium. Its description in RNAcentral is "bacterial SSU rRNA". It matches the Rfam family "Bacterial small subunit ribosomal RNA", at positions 354 to 796 of the family's 1533-position model. The record is from RNAcentral.